UACGUAGGGGGCAAGCGUUGUCCGGAUUCAUUGGGCGUAAAGCGCGUGUAGGCGGCCAUGCAGGUCCGCUGUGAAAACUCGAGGCUCAACCUCGAGAGGUCGGUGGAAACCGCAUGGCUAGAGUCCGGAAGAGGAGAGUGGAAUUCCUGGUGUAGCGGUGAAAUGCGCAGAUAUCAGGAAGAACACCCGUGGCGAAGGCGGCUCUCUGGGACGGUACUGACGCUGAGACGCGAAAGCGUGGGGAGCGAACAGGAUUAGAAACCCCCGUAGUCC
RNAcentral lists this ribosomal RNA (273 nucleotides) under uncultured bacterium. RNAcentral describes it as "partial 16S ribosomal RNA". It matches the Rfam family "Bacterial small subunit ribosomal RNA", at positions 524 to 796 of the family's 1533-position model. The record is from RNAcentral.